Molecule: small RNA, 306 nt
Filed under: uncultured bacterium
Lineage: Bacteria
Description: bacterial SSU rRNA
Rfam family: Bacterial small subunit ribosomal RNA
Source: RNAcentral
GAAAGUGGGGGCAACCCCGCAAGUAGAGUGGCGAACGGGUGAGUAACACAUCGGAACGUACCCAGGAGUGGGGGACAACCUCGAGAAAUCGAGGCUAAUACCGCAUACGUCCUGAGGGAGAAAGCGGGGGAUCUGCAAGGACCUCGCGCUCAUGGAGCGGCCGAUCUCCGCUUAGCUAGUUGGCGGGGUAAAGGCCCACCAAGGCUAGGAUCCGUAGCUGGUUUGAGAGAACGUCCAGCCACACUGGGACUGAGACACCCCCCAGAGUCCUACGGGAGGCAGCAGUGGGAUCUUGCAGAAAACUCG